This 506-nucleotide ribosomal RNA is filed under the name uncultured bacterium. RNAcentral describes it as "partial 16S ribosomal RNA". It matches the Rfam family "Bacterial small subunit ribosomal RNA", at positions 29 to 523 of the family's 1533-position model. The record is from RNAcentral.
AGUGAACGCUGGCGGUAGGCCUAACACAUGCAAGUUGAACGGCAGCACAGGAGAGCUUGCUCUCUGGGUGGCGAGUGGCGGACGGGUGAGGAAUACAUCGGAAUCUACUUUUUCGUGGGGGAUAACGUAGGGAAACUUACGCUAAUACCGCAUACGACGUACGGGUGAAAGCAGGGGACCUUCGGGCCUUGCGCGAUUGAAUGAGCCGAUGUCGGAUGAGAUGGUUGGCGGGGUAAAGGCCAACCAAGGCGACGAUCCGUAGCUGGGCUGAGAGGAUGAUCAGCCACACUGGAACUGAGACACGGUCCAGACGCCUACGGGAGGCAGCAGUGGGGAAUAUUGGACAAUGGGCGCAAGCCUGAUCCAGCCAUACCGCGUGGGUGAAGAAGGCCUUCGGGUUGUAAAGCCCUUUUGUUGGGAAAGAAAUCCAGCUGGCUAAUACCCGGUUGGGAUGACGGUACCCAAAGAAUAAGCACCGGCUAACUUCGUGCCAGCCGCCGCAGUAA